UAAAUCCCUCUGAAAACCAGUUACAGACUGUGAAAGCAGUGAAAGCAGUAAUACCAAGACCUACUUGUGAGUGGCAGCAAUAUGCAGCGAUGCGUCGAGACUGCCGGAAAUUCAGAAGAAGAAGAAAAACUGAAGGCACGUUGUGAGUGCGAGCAUCGCGAGAUUUGGAAACUGGCGGCGAGAUUCAACAUGGCGGCGCACUGCUACUGAGGGAACACAACAAACGCGUAAAACUAAAACCUUAAAAUAAGAAAUUAAAAGACAAUCUGAUUCAGACUGCAUGCUUCAUCCAUCCGCCACCUCCAACCCGGAACAACGCAUCACCACAGCGGAGGAUAUAACCGAACUCGAAGCAUUCAUUGACCGCUAUUACAACCUGCAGACCAGCACGGACCCGGACUCAACCAACCCAAACAAACCACAAAAGACAGACUCUUCAGGGGACACCGAUGAUCUACAAACCACCGAAAUCGAGGUGCAGUUGGUAACAUUGAGAAGAGAGAAAUUUUGUACGAGUACAGCCUGCAGGUCCCUUCUCCUCCCUCUCUGCUUCACUGCACCACCUCCACAGGCUCGUAACCAUGGCAACUGAUGUGGCCACGGACACCACAUGGUGAAUACACUGUUAUUUUGAGAGUGUGGCUCUGGACUCCGCUGAAGAAAUCACCCCCACAACUGAUACAAGGAGCAGGUGGGGAGAGGAGGGAGCUGGGGCGUCUUGUGGACCAAACACAGAGGACCUCGGCUUUUGCAGGAGGGAUCCUUGCGCCUGAUAGGGGGCCUGUAACCAACUCUCCAGAUGCAGGGGAGGACAGCAGACCACCAUAAAUCUACGUCAUGUUACAUGGCAGUGUGGGACUCUCAAAAGUGGUGAUACAAGGCCAAUGUGUCUUGUCAACCCUUUACCAAUUUCCAGCUCGGACAAUACUACUACAGUAAGCCUUGUUACAUGUAAAUAGUAUGAGUAUUUUAUUGUAAAUAGAAAGUAUGUUGAAAAAUGUAAAAAUAUUACAUGUCCAAAAAACAGCUGAAAACCACAUAAAACAGCAUGUCGAGACACAUCAUAGUAUAUAGCAUGUCAAAUAAACACCCCAAAAUAUCAUUAUGUAGCAUGUGGGAAAAAAAUGACCAAAACGUAAUAGUUUAGUAUAUCCAAAAAAUGUAAAAAAUAUUACAUGUCCAAAAAACACCUGAAAUGUACAAAAAAUAGCACGUUUAAGACAAUUCAUAUUAUAGAAUGUUGAAAAAAAACCCAUUGUAAUAUGGUUAUGGUUUGGGGGUUUUGUUUUCUAGUUUUUCCUUG
Molecule: non-coding RNA, 1303 nt
Organism: Plectropomus leopardus (leopard coralgrouper)
Lineage: Eukaryota; Metazoa; Chordata; Actinopteri; Perciformes; Serranidae
Source: RefSeq, a predicted model, not a curated record